AUUGAACGCUGGCGGCAGGCCUAACACAUGCAAGUCGAACGGUAACAGGAAACAGCUUGCUGUUUCGCUGACGAGUGGCGGACGGGUGAGUAAUGUCUGGGAAACUGCCUGAUGGAGGGGGAUAACUACUGGAAACGGUAGCUAAUACCGCAUAACGUCGCAAGACCAAAGAGGGGGACCCUCGGGCCUCUUGCCAUCGGAUGUGCCCAGAUGGGAUUAGCUUGUUGGUGGGGUAACGGCUCACCAAGGCGACGAUCCCUAGCUGGUCUGAGAGGAUGACCAGCCACACUGGAACUGAGACACGGUCCAGACUCCUACGGGAGGCAGCAGUGGGGAAUAUUGCACAAUGGGCGCAAGCCUGAUGCAGCCAUGCCGCGUGUAUGAAGAAGGCCUUCGGGUUGUAAAGUACUUUCAGCGGGGAGGAAGGGAGUAAAGUUAAUACCUUUGCUCAUUGACGUUACCCGCAGAAGAAGCACCGGCUAACUCCG
RNAcentral lists this ribosomal RNA (488 nucleotides) under uncultured bacterium. RNAcentral describes it as "partial 16S ribosomal RNA". It matches the Rfam family "Bacterial small subunit ribosomal RNA", at positions 30 to 505 of the family's 1533-position model. The record is from RNAcentral.